This 377-nucleotide unclassified non-coding RNA is filed under the name uncultured Actinomycetes bacterium. RNAcentral describes it as "uncultured actinobacterium contains 16S-23S intergenic spacer region". Lineage: Bacteria; Bacillati; Actinomycetota; Actinomycetes. The record is from RNAcentral.
UCCGAGUUGUCCCCGGCAGUCCUUUUAGAGUCCCCGGCAUUACCCGCUGGCAACUAAAAGCAGGGGUUGCGCUCGUUGCGGCACUUAAGCCAACACCUCACGGCACGAGCUGACGACAACCAUGCACCACCUGUAUAGCGCCCCGAAGGACACCACAUCUCUGUGGCUUUUCGCAACAUGUCAAACCCAGGUAAGGUUCUUCGCGUUGCGUCGAAUUAAACCACAUGCUCCGCUGCUUGUGCGGGCCCCCGUCAAUUCCUUUGAGUUUUAGCCUUGCGGCCGUACUCCCCAGGCGGGGCGCUUAAUGCGUUAGCUACGGCACGGAUCCCGUGGAAGGAAACCCACACCUAGCGCCCACCGUUUACGGCGUGGACUAC